UAGUAUUUCAUUUGAGGAAUUUUUCAUAAUUAAUUUAUUCUGAUGAAUAUCUGAGUAGUUUCUGCUCGGAGCUGUUGUAAAUAGGCCAGAUACAAACAUUUUAGUGGAUGUCUCAUGAAAACAUAUACAUAUAUUUCUGUUGGGUGAUGUGGACUUGCUGGGCCAUAGUUUAUAUAUAUUUUCUUAAUUUUAGUGGAAGAUGCCAAAUAAGCCAUGUUUGAGAGUUUGAAUUAUUCUGUAUCCUUGUCAACUCUUUUAUUUACCAUUGCUAUAAUUUUGCCAUUAUAGAACCUGUGUUCUGGUGUUAUUUUGGGUUUUAACUUUCAUGUCUCUGUUGACUGAUGAAGCUGAACAACCUUUAUAUGUUUAUUGAAUAUUUGUAUAUAUUCUUUCUUAAAAUUAUCUAUUCAAGAUUUUGUGCAUUUUUUUGUUUGCCCAUUAUUUUUUAAACAGAUUUUAGUUCUUUCUGUAAUUUGAUAUGGGCCCUGUGUUGAACAUGCGAGGAAUGGAUGUCUUCUCCCAUGCUCUGAACUGUCUCUUUGUUCGUAGCAAGAAGAAGACACAAAAUGAGAACAAAACUUGAUUUUAUCUCAGAAGGGAAGCAGAGUGUCAUGGUUACAAGAAACACAACUCGGGACAUAAAAUGCACCAUUUAUGUGAAUCCCAAGGGUCUUCUGCCAAGUAAGCAAUCUUUCAAACUCUCAAGUCUUGUGUAAAUUACUUCUGUAUAGAGCGAUUUCUAGAAUAGCCAACUUGAACAAAUGCUUUCUAGCAACACAAAAAUCCAUCUGACAAAAGACAGUGAUGUGAGAGAGAAGCCACAUCAUCUUGUUUCCAGCCCUUUUUUGGAGAACUGAGGGAACACUUAAUGGCAAUUUCACCUGGAAGCUUAAUUUUAACUGAGGAACUCCAGGAUGUCACACAGUAGGUAAGAAAACCAAGACAGCCAAGUAGUAGAAGUUUUUCUAGAAAGAUCCACACCAAUGGGCAAUUAAUAAGGCAUGAUUGAGAGGAAACAGAUGAGAACAUAAUGUUAAAAAAGGAAAUAUAGAGAAAUAGGAAUGAAAAGGGAGGAAACUCAUUUAGCUCGUUCUUACAAGGGAAACAAAAAUGGAAUUAGAACCUUUUAGUAAAAAUACUUUCAAAACUAAAUCCAUUUUCUAGACUUCCUAUGACAAUUAAUUAAAAAGAAACAAAUAUUGGCAUAAAAUUUACUGUUAAUAAUAGGCUUCGGGGCCAGCACUGUGGUGUAGCAGGUGAAGCCACCACUUGCAGUGCCAGCAUCCCAUAUGGGCACUGGUUCAGGUCCUGGAUGCUCUUCUUCUGGCCCAGCUCCCUGUUAAUGUGCCUGGGAUAACAGCAGAAGAUGGCUGAAGUCCUUGGGCCCCUGCACCUACCUGGGAGGUAGAAGAAGCUCCUGGUUCCUGGCUUCGGAUUGGCCCAUCUCUACUGUUGCAGCAGAUAGAAGACAUCUGUCUGUCUGUCUCUCUCUGCCUCUGCCUCUGCCUCUCUGUAACUCUGCCUUUCAAAUAAAUAAAUAGAUAAAUCUUUAAAAAAAUACUAA
Molecule: long non-coding RNA, 1564 nt
Filed under: Oryctolagus cuniculus (rabbit)
Lineage: Eukaryota; Metazoa; Chordata; Mammalia; Lagomorpha; Leporidae
Description: lncRNA (ENSOCUG00000032788.1)
Source: RNAcentral